RNAcentral lists this long non-coding RNA (991 nucleotides) under Equus caballus (horse). Its description in RNAcentral is "lncRNA (ENSECAG00000051962.1)". Lineage: Eukaryota; Metazoa; Chordata; Mammalia; Perissodactyla; Equidae. The record is from RNAcentral.
CUGUGGUGUGACGCCGGGGUUCUGUGCAAGUGCCAUCCGGACAAGGAAGCUUCCGGAGAAUCAGCCCCAUCAGGGCCCAGAACCACUGGGGCCGCGACUCCCCCAGGCUGCCCUCGACUCCAGCACACGCGGCAGCACCACGUGCCGGACACAGCGGCUCUGCUGGAGGCUCAGGGCUAUGUGGCAUGAAGGAAGCUGAGCCCCAUUACAGUGCAUACUCUCUGUACCUGGGGGGCGUGUAAGACCUCUGAGCUGCAGCUCCUGUAAACCAGACCCUGGACGUCUGCUGUCGGGCUGUGGCACCCAGGCCAGUGUGAGGCCAUCACAGGGCAGGUGCUCAGGAUCUAGAAGCCUGGGACUCCCCACGGGCUGGGGGUGCACUGGCUGCCUCCUGAGUUUGCUCCCCAACCCAGUCAAUGGCUGCUCACCCCUCCAGGGCCCCCCUUGGCUUCUUGCCGCUAAGACUUAUUCCAAGCAGCCCGAGCAGCUGAGGUGGGUAGGCGAGGCCUCAUCCGAGAACCACCACCCCACGCCACGGUCAGGCCGCACACCUGGGAGGCAGGGACCCUCGGACGGUGGCUGGCUCAGCUGGGAUGAACACCUGUGGAGGAUUCCUGGGAAGAACACCGUUGCAUGUUUCCGCAAGAACCAGAAACCUGGUUUGUGUUUCUCGGUUUGUUUCCCUCUCGCAGGGUAACUGAGCUGUAGAGCUGGGGGCUGGGCCACUUAGAACGGUCCACCCUUUCUGGCCCCCCCGGCCUUCCUCCUGGUCCUAACGCUGGGUUCUGUCCAGGUGCCGAGCCGUCCUCGGCCCUCUCCCUUCUCCCUGUCCGUCCCUGGCAGUGCCCCAUGCGCCCAGGGCUUGGCCACCAUCUGGAAGCAGGUAACCCCUACAUCACGCGUCCAGCUGCUUGCCCGGCGCCUCCUCCGGGAUGUCUCUAAUGCACCCAGGUCCAGCGCGCCCCGUGCCCCUCUUUUCUGCACCGUGCAG